UCCUUACAUUUUUAUCACUGUUGGGUUUUUAACCCUGUGAAUGCUGGAUGACGAGUAUUAGCCGCUUCAGGGCUCCUAUCAGAGAGCACGAGUCACCA
Molecule: long non-coding RNA, 98 nt
Organism: Etheostoma spectabile (orangethroat darter)
Lineage: Eukaryota; Metazoa; Chordata; Actinopteri; Perciformes; Percidae
Exons: 3
Source: RefSeq, a predicted model, not a curated record